CCCCCACCCACGUCCGUUCAUGAUUUCACGCACGCGAAUCUCUUCCUUCCUCUCAACCGUCUUCCCUUGCUGCAAACGCUGCUCCUUCUUCGUUGUUGCUCCAGUCACCGAUCAACUUUUCUGUUAUUUGCUGAGGGAAUUUUCAUGCGAUUUUUGGACGAUUUUUUCCGGUGAAUUUCCGGCGGAUUUGUUGGAACCACUUAUGAAGUCACAAUGGAUCAGGAAAUUAUUGCUUUUCAAGCUUGCAAGUGCCGUGGCUUUAAUAUGAUCUGUGCUUGUAUCAGUUGUUUAUAUGGGCCUGAGUUCUGAUACAUAAAAGGAAAACAGUGGAAGAGAAGAAGCAUCCCCGGGUUUAUACGGAUUUUUCUAUCCAUAAUAAACGUGUUCUAAAGUUGAUUUUUGAGUUAUUCGAUGAGAUUUUCCCCUACGCUGCAGAGAAUUUUCGUGCGCUAUGAGAGAAGGGAAUCAGUAGCAAAUUAAAAGUGCCACUGCACUACAAGGGUACUUCCUUCUAUCACAUUGUGAAAGGUGGCUCCUUUGUGAAGGGGGGCACUUUAUGGGAUUCAUUCGAGCUUGGAGAUAGCAUAUAUGGUUCUCAGUUCCCAAGUUUUCAAAUCUUAUGGCUUUUGGAGGUGGAAGAGAUAUGAUAGAAGUUCCAAUUAAUUUAAUUGUUGAUAAAAAUGACUGGAUUGUUAAGAGUUUAAAUAUUUGUCAUGGUACAUUAGGAGAAGAAAAUAUUAGCAUAAAAUUUUUGGAAAAUGAUGGGGAUGAAGAACAUAUUGAAAAUUUGAAAAUGUGUCAAAAUCAUAUUAACAUCAUCUCUUAUUAUACCCAUGUGCUUCAUAAUGGUUCCAAGUAUUUAAUAAUGAAACCAUUUAAAUACACGUUGGGUGAUUUUCUUAAAGAAUAUGACGAUCAUGGGGAGAAAAGGGGAGAGUUUUGGGAAGAUGGUAGUAAUUACCCUACCCUUCGAUUGUUAUAUUUAAUGAGGUAUAUGAAAUUUUUUUUAAUUAUUUUUAGUUUUCAUUUUAUGUAUUUAUUUAUAUUAAAUUAUUGAUUUUCAUUUUUCCUUUUGAUGGCCCAGAGAUAUUGUUCAUGGGGAUUUCUACAUGGGUAAAUUGAAAAUAAUUCAUGAAACUUUGACGCCAAAUCACAUCAUGAUAAUACCAUCAAGUCAAUCAAACACGAAUAGGAGUUUCAUAGCAAAAAUAUGUGACAUGAAGACAUCAAGGAUGGCAAGAAUGAGCUCAAAAAGGAGAAAAAUAUUCCCCAUGAUGAUGAUUGGCCUUCACCUGAACAAUUAAAUCAGAUAACCCAAACAUUAAUGAUGGAUGUGUUCAACCUCGGCUGUAUUUUAUUUUAUUGCCUCACUCGAGAGCAUCCAUUUGAGAAUCAGCGGAUAUAUAUCUGCCGAGGUAAUAUAAGGCAUAUGCAGCUUCUGCCUGACUUUCCAGUGUUGAAGAAUUUACUUCUUGCGAUGCUAAAACCUGCUCUUAAGGAUAGGAUCAAACCUAUGGACGUGGUCUUCCAUCCUUUGUUUUGGAGUCCCCACAGAAAGCUUGCUUUUCUGAUUCAUGCGAGCGAUUAUAUACAAGCUAAGAGACAAAUGAUGACAAAGUUCUUCAUAAACAUGAGAACAACAAAAAUAAUCAACGGAAAUUGGCUCGCAAAGAUACAAAAUAAUGAAAUGCAUAAGGCAGUCAUAGGAUUGGAUGGCAAAUAUGCUUACGAUAGUGUCCUUGAGUUGGUCAGAGCGAUUAGAAAUCUAGCUAUCCACGAGGCAAACUGGAAACCAUCAUUUAAGGCAGCUUUCUCGUACCCAGUAGGAUUUGAGGGAUAUUUCAAGACAGUCUUUCCAGAUUUAUUUCUUGAUGUUUAUAAAUCGAUUCAAAAAAACUGCUUAUGCGAGACACGGUUUAACUCUUAUUUCAGAGAGCAUUUUGAAGCUGACAAAUUUCUUUGAGAAGAAAAUGGUUAAAAUAGCCUGUUGAGCUUGUGGCUUUCUAGUUGGAGCAUGUUGCUUUUGUAUGGGUUAUGCAUUGAUUGAAUAUCAGCUUGUUGAGGAAGCAGGAAAUACAAUAGAGUAUUUGAAUGGAUCUGAACUUAUUCAAAUCAUCUAUGUUGACAGGGCUUUCAGCAAUGGACCUAUUAAUGGUGCAAUGAGAAGAAAGAAUGCUAGGCAUCCAUGCUGGACUUUUAACUGUUGAUUAAUAUUUGACAGAUCAUUUAGCCCUUUGAUAUUACAAUGGUGUUAAUAGUUUAAUACUGGUUACUCAAACCAUUUAUGUUGCCGUGGUGUGGUGUGCAGUGCAGUGCUUGGAUGAUUUUUUACACCUUAAUGAGCAAAGUUGGUUUAUUUGGUCAAA
Molecule: long non-coding RNA, 2366 nt
Organism: Prosopis cineraria
Lineage: Eukaryota; Viridiplantae; Streptophyta; Magnoliopsida; Fabales; Fabaceae
Exons: 12
Source: RefSeq, a predicted model, not a curated record